Long non-coding RNA from Astatotilapia calliptera (eastern happy), 2324 nucleotides. The record is from Ensembl. Lineage: Eukaryota; Metazoa; Chordata; Actinopteri; Cichliformes; Cichlidae.
CUUACCACGAGCAGCGCGACAGCACAAUACAGUGAGCUGCACACAAGCUAUAUCAGAGAAGGAGGCAGAUGAUGAGGCGGCUAUUGCAAAGGGCCACGCAGGAAUCAAUGAGCAAGACAAAUGUUUUAUUUGGACUUGUAAUUCACCAUGCUUUUGUGUCAAAUCUUUGCAAAUAAAGAAUUCUGAGUUGUCCUGUUUUGAUAAAUUAAAGCACAGACUCCUUUGGGCUCUACUGAAGUAGAUAUGCAGUCAAAUAUAAUUCUAAGUGCGGUACAAAAGUAUUUGCCCCCCAGUCGUAACCACUUUUUAAGUGGUUCAGUUCAGUUCCACUAACCACACCCAGAGCUGAUUACUGCCAGACCUGAUGAAUCAGGAACUCACUUAAACAGAACCUGUCGGACAAAGUGAAGUAGACUAAAAGGUCUAAAAAUAAAAAACCAAACAAAAAAACAACAACAACAACAACAACACAACAUGCCAUAAUCUAAAGGAACUCAAGAACAGCUGAGAAACAAACUGACAUCUAUCAGUCCUGAAAGGGUUAUAAAGCCGUUUCUGAGACUUUCGGACUUCAGUGAACCACAGUAAGAGCCGUUAUCCACAAAUGGAGAGAACCUGGAACAUUGCAGAAUCUUCCCAGGAGUGGUCCACCUGCCAAAGUUACUCCAAGAGCGCAUCAACGACUCAUCCAGGAGGUUACAAAAGAACCCAGAAUAAAAUCUGAACUGCAGGCCUCAGCUGUGUCACUUAAGGUCAGAGUUUGUGAUUCAACAAGACUGGGCAAAAAUGGUAUCCAUGGGAGAGUAAGAAGAAAGCCGCUGCUAACCACAAAGAACAUGACAGCUUGUCUCACAGCUGCCAAAAACAUCGUGAUGAUCACCAGGACUUGUGGGAAAAUAUUCUGAAGACAAAAGUUGAACUUUUUGGAAAGUGUGAGUCCUGUUACAUCUGGUGUAAAACUUACACAGCGGUCUGGUGCUUCAGGUUUUGGAGUGACUGAGUCAAAGUCUGGACUUAAAUCAGAUUGAAAUGCUUUGGCAUGAUCUUAAACAGGCUUUUCAUGUUCAAAAAUCCUCCAGUGUGACUGAAUUAAAGCAAAUCUGCAAAGAAGAGUGGGCCAAAAUUCCUCCACAGCAAUGUGACAGACUCAUUGCUAGUUAUCACACACGGUAGAUUGCAGUUCUUACUGCCAAGGGUGGCACAACCAGUUAUUAGGUUUAGGGAGCAAUUAGUUUUUCACAUAGAGCCUGGUAGAUCUGGAUAAUUCUUUUUUCCAUUAAUAAAUUAAAUCAUUUUUUUAAAACUGCAUUUUUUUAUUCAGUCAGGUUAUGUUUGUCAAAUGUUAAAUUGGCUUGAUGAUCUAAAACACGUAAGCUAAAACCUAAGAAAUCAGGAACGAAGCACAUACUUCUGUUGGGCCUUAGGGCAGCCCCUCACUUCAUCCGCUCUGUGAAAUAAGCUUUUCAAGCCAAUCUCUCUCUUUGAGACAACUUUCUUCUGAUUGGCUGCCUCCUUCAAGCAGAAGGUUUUAGCAGCAGUUGGGUGGGGUUGCUGUGUCUGUGAUGACCAUAUAAGGGUGUCAUCUUUCGUUGAUGUCAUAGAGAUCCAAGAUUAGAAAAAAGUGCCUGACACAGAGUGUUUAGAGCAGCCUGAAGUUUGAGUUUUGCGUCACAGAGAUUUUUUUCUUUUUAUUUAUUUUUUAUAUAUUUUUUUCAUGAUCUUCACCAACAGCUCCUCGGAGGGAAAUCGUCUUCUCCGCCAUAGGGCCGUCCCAGAAGAUGAACAGAGGUCUAAAGGUCAUGUGCUUUAGAAAUAGGAAACAAAAUCCAGCAAGGACCUGAGAGAUGUAUUUGGUCAUUCAGCUCCACUGUUCAAAAAAGCCUCAACAGAAAUGGUAUCAGUGGAUGGGUGGCUGUCAAGAGGCCAUCAUGAAAUACCAUCUGGAAAGAGUCACACAGUGGGACACUAUCAGUCAUGGACUGGUCUCCCCAGAGCCCAGAUCCUAACAUCAUUGAAGCAGUGUGGGAUCUUCUUCACAGAGAACAGAACAAAAAGCAGCCAACAUCCAAAGAAGGGCCUUGAAUGUUCAUCAAGCCCAGAGAACUAUUCUUAAAGACUACUUAAAGAAAGAAAGCUGCCUAUGAGAGUUCAGGCUGUGCUGAAGAAUAAAGGUGGUCAUGCUAAAUAUUGAGCACUCUAUUUAGAUUCUUUGGAGUACCCCGAGUGAGACCGAAUUGAAGUCAUGCACUACAGACAGUUAGAAAAUUAAAUUCUUUUAAAUGAAUUAUGCUGAGGUAUUAAUAGCUAAAAAUGCACUGUCUACA